UGAGGAAUAUUGGACAAUGGAGGCAACUCUGAUCCAGCCAUGCCGCGUGAAGGACUAAGGCCCUAUGGGCUGUAAACCUCUUUUGUCGGGGAGUAACGUGCGGGACGGGUCCCGUAUUGAGAGUACCCGAAGAAAAAGCAUCGGCUAACUCCGUGCCAGCAGCCGCGGUAAUACGGAGGAUGCGAGCACUAUCCGGAUUUAUUGGGUUUAAAGGGUGCGCAGGCGGCGCGCCAAGUCAGCGGUCAAAGUUCCGGGCUCAACCCGGUGUCGCCGUUGAAACUGGCGUGCUCGAGUGCGUGCGAGGAAGGCGGAAUGCGUUGUGUAGCGGUGAAAUGCAUAGAUAUGACGCAGAACUCCGAUUGCGAAGGCAGCUUUCCAGCGCGCUACUGACGCUGAGGCACGAAAGC
Molecule: ribosomal RNA, 407 nt
Filed under: uncultured Barnesiella sp.
Lineage: Bacteria; Pseudomonadati; Bacteroidota; Bacteroidia; Bacteroidales; Barnesiellaceae
Description: bacterial SSU rRNA
Rfam family: Bacterial small subunit ribosomal RNA
Source: RNAcentral